Molecule: non-coding RNA, 4033 nt
Organism: Triticum urartu
Lineage: Eukaryota; Viridiplantae; Streptophyta; Magnoliopsida; Poales; Poaceae
Source: RefSeq, a predicted model, not a curated record
GCUACAUCUACUCAUGUAAGCCUUAGUAAUCAAGCGGCUGGAUCAGAAGAAGUAGAACACCAGGCUCAUCACGGGCCUGCUGCAAUCGACCAGUGUCCCGUGUCUCUUGGAUAUACCUCUUCCGCGUGCAUAUACAGCCGUCAAGAUCAAUCAAUCUGGCUAAUAGGCUAUAAUUAGCAAGCAAGCUUAUCACGUGAGUUCUCCAGGGUCAAGGCAACGAAAGCCAGCUUCACACUACUUGUUAACAGCCGAAAGCAUAGGACAUGCCAAGACCAUCUGGAAACAACUAAUUUUACAAGACCUUGAUACAUGUAUUUCAUUUCUCUACCCAACAUCAUCAAACUCAAAAUUUUAUAAAGAGCAUCUACAGCCAUAGACAGCAAAUUUGACCCCUCAAACCUCCGCGAACGCACCCGAGCGCGUCUAUGGGCAUUGACUAGGCACGCCUCAUAUAUUUCCUGCCACGGCCGCGUCCCUCAUAUCCAAAACCCCAAACCCAUGCAACUCUACGUAAAGUGAACAAGAUCAGCACAUAGUUCAUCCCAUACAGUCGGAUCAUAGCUCGUCGCCCGACAAAAGGGUCAUGAUUCAUGCACGGACACUGCAAAUUCAUGUACAAACUAGUAAUAAAAACAUAAAUAAGACGUAGAUAAAACAUGGAAGGGCGGACGACAUCACCAUUUCCUCGCUGUCCCCUUCCCCUUGCGGUCAGCGGCGUGCCUGUGCCCCUCCUCCAUGUACGCGUCGGCCUGCGGCGGUGCAUCGUUGUCAGAGCUGGAGGUGUAGCCAUCCUUCAGGUCGGAGACAUCGGGGCGCGUUUGGCAUGUCAACAUCCGGAGCAGGUGGCCUGCUCCAUCGCAUGGCGGGCCACGUCCUUGUUUGCCUCGCACUCCGACAGCUCGAUGGUGAGCCGGAGCGCGUUGACAUUCUUGCAGCGAAAGCACCGCACAUUCGUUUCUGCCAUCGUGAGAGAGAGGCGGAGGUCCGACUCAAGGAGCGUCGGCUUGGGAUCCUCCUGCACGCUCACGCGUGUCAGGCUCACGGCCGGCGCCUCCCCCGCUGUCGCCUCGCGGCAGGCUGUCCGUGCCUCCGAUUAGGUAGAUCAAACCCAAGCCCAUUGCAAAUUUUGGUCUCCAGUGCCGGUCCAACUAGUUGGUAUGACGCCAUUAUGAGAUAUUCAUAAAGAUAGGUUUUCUAUUUUUUUAGUUGUCAUUUUGGUUGAAUAUAAUUGUAUAUAUAGUUUUGUAGUUGGCAAAGCCACAACAUGAAACAAAGGUACUACUAAAUCAACAAGGAUCUACAAAUGUACUGAAGUUGUAGUAUACUGCAACUAAGAUGUACCGGGAAGAAAUUGGUUACAAAGCUUCAGUAAUAGAUACAAGGUAUGCUAGUGUGCCACCAGGUUGAUGAGCAUAUUUAUGCCACCGAAAGUAGUAGGAUACACCGGGGCAUACACACUUAUAAAUAUGUAAAGACGUCAGAAUUAUAAGACAUGGAUGCACCCUAACUUAUGUAGUCUUGCCAUAAGGUUAUAUUUUGCGUCGAUAAAUUCAGUGAUUGUGCUUCUGUUUAUAAGUAAAAACACUAAAUAUGUUUUGAGGAUUAGGAGCCAUCAAAGGAAAAGCCAUUACCAUGUGUGAGAUCAUGCCGAUCAACCCUUUGAACUUAUGCUCUCUGACCACCACCAUGCCGACAUGGUAUCCCGAACACGCACUCGACACACCCUAUGGAGAGGUUAGAGCGUGUCGCAGUAGUCCUAGACAGUAUUUGUUCUGGAGGAAGCUCAGAGGUUGGCGGCGGUGUUAUGGUGGCUCUCGAGAAAGAGCGUGACCAUCUCCGACGUUUAGACAACGGCGAAAGAAUGCAUGGAUCCAAACUAAAGCCGCAUCACUGUUGGAUACACACAGGAGAAGAACACACAGAGUCUCAUGUACACGCACUUGUGAUAAUCUCAUGUUCACUCUACACCAAAAAUAAACAACAUGUUUACAGAGCUUUAUAACACAGCUCAUGCACACACACGGCCAAGCCUAACAGUCUGAUCCACUAAUAUUGGUCCACUACCCGCACUAGCAUCCAUAGCUUAAGUCACUUCCAAGUCCCUGGAGAUCAGAUCACUCGCUGCAUGCCGCAACUAACUGCGCGGGCUUACAUCUCCAUGUCAAUAUCCUCUCUCGCACCCUCAUCUAGUCAGCCCCGAUCCCCGCUCCCAACCCCCGCCACUACAACAAAAUAGGUAUGUAGGGACGUUUUUGUGUCCACGCUUUUAUCAACGUCUCAUUAUUCAAAAUCACUUAGUGCAUAGGGACGAUUUCUGAGGCGCAAAGGACAUCGUCCUUGGUUCCCAUAGAAAAAAAGGAUUCUGGUGGUUGAAAAUAUCUUGCGCCACCAGCCCACCACCACCACCCUAAUCCCCCAUCGUGCGAGAUGGCCCAAGAAAGUAACUACCAUGGAAAAAGGGUGCGAUCUCUGGCCUCUAAAACUAGCGCCGCCAUGCCACACCGCCGCUCUCUGCCAAGAUCCUGCUCCUCCUCACCCCAGACUCGCUGUAGCAGGUCCACCCCCUCGCCCGUCGGCCGCCAACAGUAGGCUCGGGGACCCCGGCCUCCAGGCGGUGGCCCAGCCCCACUCCGGCGGCCUCGACCUGCAGCUCCGGCACACGAUGCACUCCGGCUGAAAGGGAAGAUGGCGGGUGGCGGAGUGGGCAACGGAACUGGACAUCGCCAUCUCCUCCUAGUGAGAUCGUAGCGAGAUACGACCCGACAGGAAGGUAGAAGAGGAACAAGAUUGACGAGGAGGACGAAAGGUAUUGAUCAGUUAGGCGCUCGUUUAUUUGUAUGUUCGCUGUCCUUCUCUUCAGACUUUGAUUCAGAUCCACCUUUCUGUAUGUAGCUGUUUUAUUUGUUCGCCCACGGCAACAAUGCCAUCAGAGACUUAAUUAGUUUAUAUAAUCUUCGGGGGGAAAUUGUAUGCCCCGGUGACGACUCCUACCUGGCCCUCCAUUUGCUCGCUCGGCAUCCUCUAUCUCUAAGAACCCGAUGUCUUGCGACCAAAAAAAAUCCAACAAGCGUCCUCGCCAUGUGAAGCUCGUUUCCAUCAGGUAGGCUGACCUCGUGCUUGACACUGUCGACCAGCAGCAAGGCGGCAAAUUCAUUUAUAUGUGAGUCGAUCUACUUUUUUGUUUUAGUUUUUCUAUCAAUUCAUUCCAAAUAAAAAAUUGGAGCCGCUCCCUUGAUGCGUACUUAGUUGUGGAGGAGAAACUUGACAUUGUACAUUAGAUUAUCCUAUUAAGAUAGGACAACACUGCUUUGCCGGGUUUUUUUUCUGAACUCUCGUCUGUUUACUAAUUAAACAUGUAGACUUCCACUUCAAUUUACACUACUACUUCAAUUUACAUAUAGCUUUUUUCGUUGUUUACUCCCAAAUUAUUGGCACUCACAUAUGCAGGUGCUUCAUAAAAAGCCUCUGAUAAUAUCCUGAUUGAAUAGGAUGGUCAGUGUUCUUAACACAUUUUUCUUUUUCAUGUAGUUAAUAAUAGUUGUGUAUCAACUGUCAAAUCACCUUCACCCCCUCCACUCCCAUAACUAAAAUUAAGAGCUUUGCGCCCACGUUCUAACAUUUCUUAGAAUUAACAUGGCUUCUACUCUAAACAGAGAGAUCAACUCACACAUGCAGUUUCUCACCUGUAGAAACUUUUCUCAAGUUGUCAGAUAAAGAGCACCGUGGAUGGAUAUAUUAUCAUGUUUGUAUGUAUCUAUACUUCAUAUGGGCACAUGAAAUCUACACGGCAAGAUUGAACUUCUGCAGUGCAUGUUUACUCGAUGUGAAAAUCUUCUAUGUGCGGAAUUUGAAGGCAGUUGCCACAAGGAUAAGCUAGAGAAGCAGAGAAAACAAGGAGCCAUUGUUCCAUUAUCAACAUGUAGAAACUAAAAAUCAUAUAGAUAUGUUUCACCUAGUUUGCGCAUGUAAUUGUUAAUAGGAGAUGUGUACAAUUGAGUUUGUAAACUACUACUACUCUGAGUAAUACAAUGUU